UACGUAGGGGGCAAGCGUUGUCCGGAAUCAUUGGGCGUAAAGAGCGUGUAGGCGGCUCGAUAAGUCUGCUGUGAAAGUCCAGGGCUCAACCCUGGAAGGCCGGUGGAAACUGUCGGGCUAGAGUCCGGAAGAGGCGAGUGGAAUUCCCGGUGUAGCGGUGAAAUGCGCAGAUAUCGGGAGGAACACCAAUGGCGAAGGCGGCUUGCUGGGCCUUACCUGACGCUGAGGAGCGAAAGCGUGGGGAGCGAACAGG
RNAcentral lists this ribosomal RNA (253 nucleotides) under uncultured bacterium. RNAcentral's name for it is "partial 16S ribosomal RNA". It matches the Rfam family "Bacterial small subunit ribosomal RNA", at positions 524 to 776 of the family's 1533-position model. The record is from RNAcentral.